Molecule: non-coding RNA, 26 nt
Filed under: Cricetulus griseus (Chinese hamster)
Lineage: Eukaryota; Metazoa; Chordata; Mammalia; Rodentia; Cricetidae
Source: RNAcentral
AAGAGCGUUCUGUUUGGUUGUCAGUG